This 154-nucleotide ribosomal RNA is filed under the name uncultured eukaryote. RNAcentral describes it as "partial 18S ribosomal RNA". The record is from RNAcentral.
UCGUGGCAUGAGUCGUCAUUUUUGAAUGUUAAUUCGGGUAACGAGCGAGACCUCCGUGGGGCAAAGAUUUCUGAGAGUUGGCGGGCACCUGUGGUGUGUGCGCUCGGCCCAGACACGAACGUCGAAAAGACAUGGGAAGUGGGAGGCUAUAACA